RNAcentral lists this ribosomal RNA (395 nucleotides) under Spongomonas minima. RNAcentral's name for it is "partial small subunit ribosomal RNA". It matches the Rfam family "Eukaryotic small subunit ribosomal RNA", at positions 30 to 432 of the family's 1831-position model. The record is from RNAcentral. Lineage: Eukaryota; Cercozoa; Imbricatea; Spongomonadida; Spongomonadidae.
GCUUGUCUCAAAGAUUAAGCCAUGCAUGUCUAAGUAUAAACAACUUUAUACUGUGAAACUGCGUACAGCUCAUUAUAUCAGUUAUAAUUUAUUUGAUGGUGAUUUACUACAUGGAUAACCGUGGUAAUUCUAGAGCUAAUACAUGCGUAAGAUCCUGACUAACGAAGGGACGUAUUUAUUAGAUACAACCGACCUCCUUCUGGAGCCUUUUGUCGACUCAUAGUAACUUCUCGAAUCGGAGGCUUGCCUCCGAUAGUUCAUUCAAAUUUCUGCCCUAUCAACUUUCGAUGGUAAGGUAUUGGCUUACCAUGGUUACAACGGGUAACGGGGAAUUAGGGUUCGAUUCCGGAGAGGGGGCCUGAGAAAUGGCCACCACUUCCAAGGAAGGCAGCAGG